This is a long non-coding RNA of Brassica oleracea var. oleracea, 1054 nucleotides long. RefSeq lists it as uncharacterized. The transcript has 4 exons. Lineage: Eukaryota; Viridiplantae; Streptophyta; Magnoliopsida; Brassicales; Brassicaceae. The record is from RefSeq and is a predicted model, not a curated record.
UCAGAUCCACGAGGUGAAGUUUCUAGAUACACUCUUCUGAUCUUCUAUUCAUCGCGUUCAGCUCGGAAUAUUCUGUUUUUGUUUCUCUGAUUGGAUUCGAUUGCGACCAUCGUCAUCUGAGAUUCAAACGAGAUUUCAAUCGAACCGAUUGAAAUUGGAAUCUAGAAACCACGAUCUGCUCAUUGCUUAGGCUUCAAUCAAAUUAUCGUCGUCAUUAUUCGUAGCUUGAUUUUCUGCUCAGGAUUUCAAAAGCGGGAUGAGCGAGAUGAACGUGUUCAGAUCGAGGAGCAAUGUGGAAACCAGCUGAAGAGAGGCGCUUGAGAUUAGCCAUAAGACUCUUAAAGAAGAGAACGAAAGGCUGAAGAAGCUGUAUACCGAAUCGUUAAACAACUUCGUCGAUCAGCUUGAGCAUCGAACUAAGUGCCACAGCUUGAAAGAAGAGCUGAAAAGAAUGAAUGAUGAAAAUAGAAGCAAAGAGCAUGUGAGACUCCAAACAAAAGCUUUUUCAGCAAGUUAAGCUUUUUCAGAAAGACAAAACACACAAAAUCUCUGAACCAGUUCCGAGCUCAACAUUUUUCAUCCUCACUGUAUCUAUCAGUCACGUUGUUUCUCAACAAGCCAAGCUUCUUCUCUGUUUCUCUCACGUAAAGCAUUUGAACAACUCAUGGCUCCCUCUCACAACAUUCCACUUUGUAGUCUCACCUCCACUGAUGAAUCCAAACUUGACUUAAAUGCUCUGUCUUUGAGCGUUUCCUUCCAUGGGUGGAGAGAGGCGAACUCAGCUUUCAAGUCUUGGGCUAUAAAAAUGUCAUCUUUACACAGACCCACAUAGAGAAAAGCUGGGAUCUUCGAAUCAGUCAUGGCAUCUACCAAAGGACUCAACAAAGACACAAAGAAACCAAGAGCUACUGGUUAGUUCAAUAUCAUUGAUCAAUUUGAAGUUUUUUGAUUGUGUAUUGUGGUAAAGUUUGUUGUAGUGAAAGUGUUUUAUAAAUUUCUUUUAAGAAUCCAUAAUUAAGAGACUUGCAAUAAAGUACUUAAAUGUUCAAAUCUC